This 878-nucleotide long non-coding RNA is filed under the name Hordeum vulgare. Its description in RNAcentral is "long non-coding RNA (HVUL_LNC000529)". Lineage: Eukaryota; Viridiplantae; Streptophyta; Magnoliopsida; Poales; Poaceae. The record is from RNAcentral.
UGAACUACAGUUAGCUAGAGGGGAUGGGCAUGCCAAAAUAUUGGCUAUGACCAAAAAAUUGGUAUGGUUGGUUUUGGUCAUCAUCCAAACAUACCCUUAUACCCAAGGAAAUAUACCUGGUUUUCAUGCGAACACGGAAACAAGAUGUAAUGCUUGUGUACAAAUUAACCUUUUAUAUUUCAUAAAGUCCACGGUCAUAAUUUUCUUAAUUGUACUGUUAGGCUGUUAGCUACUCACAUAAGACUGAUUAAACACAUGUUUCGGCUGUGUGCACAGGUGUAGCCUGCUAAAUGGCCUGUCUGAAGACCACAAACUCAAGUACGUAAGUUUUAAAUUCGCUCUUUCUUACUGAUGAAGGGAGAGAUAUCCAUACUUAUUUUAUUUCAAGUACAGAACAGAUCAAUCUAUUCUUUGAAGAGUGUCAUAACUGACAGGAUAAGGUGCUUUUGAGGCUCAAUUUGCCAAAACCACCUUAUUGGAGCAGGAAUGGGAGUUUCAUACUUGCCAGCAGCACCAGCCUCGGUUUCUGAGACCUAAUACUACAAACAAAGCUUAACGGUUGGAGUUUUUCAACAACUGUGAUUGUACCAAACAUGAACUGAACAUCAGAUAGGUUGAAUAGAAUAUAUCGGUUGACUGGGGGAGGUUGUGGAAAAAAAGUUGGGGCAUGAUUGGCAAAUAAGGGUAAAAGAGAGAAGGACUGGAGGUUUAUUUCUUGCAUCCCUCAAUAGAGUACAGACCCUGCCUUUUAGAGGGCAGACUGAACAUGGCGCACGAGUGCUAUGUCUAAUUCUAUCUUAGUCCUUUAACCAGUUACUUUCCUAAACUAAUCUGAUCUUUCUUCUGGACUACAAUAUUAUUCUUACUCAGACAAUAAU